Molecule: RNA transcript, 974 nt
Organism: Nomascus leucogenys (northern white-cheeked gibbon)
Lineage: Eukaryota; Metazoa; Chordata; Mammalia; Primates; Hylobatidae
Gene name: RNA polymerase I-specific transcription initiation factor RRN3-like
Exons: 10
Source: RefSeq, a predicted model, not a curated record
GGAAGGAGCAGGGCAUCCGGCGUGAGGCGCAGCGGUCGCGUUAGUUCGGCCCAAUGGCGGCACCGCUGCUUCACACGCGUUUGCCGGGAGAUGCGGCCGCUUCGUCUUCCGCAGUCAAGACGCUGGGCGCGUCGAGGACUGGGAUUUCAAAUAUGCGUGCAUUAGAGAAUGGUUUUUUUCAAUUCUCCCCCAAGAAAAACUGUUCGGUUUGGUGGAACUGUGACAGAAGUCUUGCUGAAGUACAAAAAGGGUGAAACAAAUGACUUUGAGUUGUUGAAGAACCAGCUAUUAGAUCCAGACAUAAAGGAUGACCAGAUCAUCAACUGGCUGCUAGAAUUCCGCUCUUCUAUCAUGUACUUGACAAAAGACUUUGAGCAACUUAUCAGUAUUAUAUUGAGAUUGCCCUGGUUGAAUAGAAGUCAAACAGUAGUGGAAGAGUAUUUGGCUUUUCUUGGUAAUCUUGUAUCAGCACAGACUGUUUUCCUCAGACCGUGUCUCAGCAUGAUUGCUUCCCAUUUUGUGCCUCCCCGAGUGAUCAUUAAGGAAGGCGAUGUAGAUGUUUCAGAUUCUGAUGAUGAAGAUGAUAAUCUUCCUGCAAAUUUUGACACAUGUCACAGAGCCUUGCAAAUAAUAGCAAGAUAUGUACCAUCGACACCGUGGUUUCUUAUGCCAAUACUGGUGGAAAAAUUUCCAUUUGUUCGAAAAUCAGAGCGAACACUGGAAUGCUACGUUCAUAACUUACUAAGGAUUAGUGUAUAUUUUCCAACUUGAGGCAUGAAAUUCUGGAGCUUAUUAUUGAAAAGCUACUCAAGUUGGAUGUGAAUGCAUCCCGGCAGGAUAUUGAAGAUGCUGAAGAAACAGCAACUCAAACUUGUGGUGGGACAGAUUCCACAGAAGGAUUGUUUAAUAUGGUUAGCAGUUUAUUAAUGAAAGUGGACAUGAAGUGUAUCAUAAUCAAGGGUGGAAACAGCUAG